This 460-nucleotide ribosomal RNA is filed under the name uncultured bacterium. RNAcentral's name for it is "partial 16S ribosomal RNA". It matches the Rfam family "Bacterial small subunit ribosomal RNA", at positions 338 to 795 of the family's 1533-position model. The record is from RNAcentral.
CCUACGGGUGGCAGCAGUGGGGGAUAUUGGUCAAUGGGCGCAACCCUGAACCAGCCAAGUAGCGUGAGGGAUGACUGCCCUACGGGUUGUAAACUUCUUUUCUAAAGGAAUAAAGUGAGGCACGUGUGCCUUUUUGUAUGUACUUUCUAAAUAAGGAUCGGCUAACUCCGUGCCAGCAGCCGCGGUAAUACGGAGGAUCCGAGCGUUAUCCGGAUUUAUUGGGGUGAAAGGGAGCGUAGAUGGGUUGUUAAGUCAGGUGUGAAAGUUUGCGGCUCAACCGUAAAAUUGCAAUUGAUACUGGCAGUCUUGAGUAAAGUUGAGGUAGGCGGAAUUCGUGGUGUAGCGGUGAAAUGCUUAGAUAUCACGAAGAACUCCGAUUGCGAAGGCAGCUUACUAAACUGCCACUGACAUUGAUGCUCGAAAGUGUGGGGAUCAAACAGGAUUAGAUACCCUUGUAGUC